AUACGGAGGGUGCAAGCGUUAUUCGGAAUCACUGGGCGUAAAGGACGCGUAGGCGGGUUGGCAAGUCAGAUGUGAAAUCCUACAGCUUAGCUGUAGAACUGCAUUUGAAACUGCUAACCUAGAGUAUGGGAGGGGGGGAUGGAAUUAGUGGUGUAGGGGUAAAAUCCGUAGAUAUCACUAGGAAUACCGAAAGCGAAGGCGAUCUCCUGGAACAUAACUGACGCUAAGGCGUGAAAGCGUGGGGAGCAAACAGGAUUAGAUACCCUAGUAGUCC
RNAcentral lists this ribosomal RNA (274 nucleotides) under uncultured bacterium. RNAcentral describes it as "partial 16S ribosomal RNA". It matches the Rfam family "Bacterial small subunit ribosomal RNA", at positions 523 to 796 of the family's 1533-position model. The record is from RNAcentral.